Molecule: ribosomal RNA, 276 nt
Filed under: uncultured Bacillus sp.
Lineage: Bacteria; Bacillati; Bacillota; Bacilli; Caryophanales; Bacillaceae
Description: partial 16S ribosomal RNA
Rfam family: Bacterial small subunit ribosomal RNA
Source: RNAcentral
GUGCCAGCAGCGGCGGUAAUACGUAGGUGGCAAGCGUUGUCCGGAAUUAUUGGGCGUAAAGCGCGCGCAGGCGGUCCUUUAAGUCUGAUGUGAAAGCCCACGGCUCAACCGUGGAGGGUCAUUGGAAACUGGAGGACUUGAGUACAGAAGAGGAAAGCGGAAUUCCACGUGUAGCGGUGAAGUGCGUAGAGAUGUGGAGGAACACCAGGUGGCGAAGGCGGCUUUCUGGUCUGUAACUGACGCUGAGGCGCGAAAGCGUGGGAGCGAAACAGGAUU